RNAcentral lists this long non-coding RNA (240 nucleotides) under Carica papaya (papaya). RNAcentral's name for it is "long non-coding RNA (CPAP_LNC009674)". Lineage: Eukaryota; Viridiplantae; Streptophyta; Magnoliopsida; Brassicales; Caricaceae. The record is from RNAcentral.
AUUUAGCAGUAGACCACCUCAACCAGUUACCAUUUAAUGGGGAAUCUUCACUGUUGGACGAUGAGUUCCUAGAUGAACAUUUGUUUUCAAUGCAACAAGCAGCACCAUGGUAUGCAGACAUCGUUAAUUUACUUAUUACCUAGGAGCUACCAACUGAUCUCCCAAACACCAGGAAGGAAAAGAUAAAAAAAGAAGCAAGGCAGCACGGAUAACCCAUACUUGUGGAAAUAUUGUGCUGAC